CGUCUGGCAGAAAGGCCGACAACGCUCUAUAUUGAGCGUGCCGGGAAACCGGCUAUGGCGCUAAACGCUCUAUGGAAUAAGCGUUACGGACCCGGGGGCGGUACCCGGCGCCUCCACCAAUCCCCCGUGCUUGACCGGCCAGCGGCCGGGACAGACGGGCCUUCUGGGGGCGAAAUAGGAUCGCCGUGCGUAGUAAAGAUAGAGUCUGUGCCCGGCAUGGUACCGCCGUUAUCGGGCUAAUAUCACAAGUGCCAACGAUAAUGUCGUGGCUCUCGCUGCUUAAUCAUUAAGCAAGCGCGGUUCGGGGGGCACCGGGCAACAGAAGCCCCCCACU
Molecule: transfer-messenger RNA, 334 nt
Filed under: Telmatospirillum sp.
Lineage: Bacteria; Pseudomonadati; Pseudomonadota; Alphaproteobacteria; Rhodospirillales; Rhodospirillaceae
Rfam family: Alphaproteobacteria transfer-messenger RNA
About the family: Bacterial tmRNA, also known as 10Sa RNA or SsrA, is named for its dual tRNA and mRNA-like properties.
Source: RNAcentral